This 429-nucleotide ribosomal RNA is filed under the name Actinomycetes bacterium. RNAcentral's name for it is "Actinobacteria bacterium partial 16S ribosomal RNA". It matches the Rfam family "Bacterial small subunit ribosomal RNA", at positions 355 to 776 of the family's 1533-position model. Lineage: Bacteria; Bacillati; Actinomycetota; Actinomycetes. The record is from RNAcentral.
UAGGGAAUCUUCCGCAAUGGGCGAAAGCCUGACGGAGCAACGCCGCGUGAGUGAUGAAGGUCUUCGGAUCGUAAAACUCUGUUAUUAGGGAAGAACAAAUGUGUAAGUAACUAUGCACGUCUGGACGGUACCUAAUCAGAAAGCCACGGCUAACUACGUGCCAGCAGCCGCGGUAAUACGUAGGUGGCAAGCGUUAUCCGGAAUUAUUGGGCGUAAAGCGCGCGUAGGCGGUUUUUUAAGUCUGAUGUGAAAGCCCACGGCUCAACCGUGGAGGGUCAUUGGAAACUGGAAAACUUGAGUGCAGAAGAGGAAAGUGGAAUUCCAUGUGUAGCGGUGAAAUGCGCAGAGAUAUGGAGGAACACCAGUGGCGAAGGCGGCUUUCUGGUCUGUAACUGACGCUGAUGUGCGAAAGCGUGGGGAUCAAACAGG